RNAcentral lists this ribosomal RNA (850 nucleotides) under Guttuliascospora indica. RNAcentral describes it as "Peroneutypa indica partial large subunit ribosomal RNA". It matches the Rfam family "Eukaryotic large subunit ribosomal RNA", at positions 60 to 929 of the family's 3401-position model. The record is from RNAcentral. Lineage: Eukaryota; Fungi; Ascomycota; Sordariomycetes; Xylariales; Diatrypaceae.
AGAACCAACCGGGGAUUGCCCUAGUAACGGCGAGUGAGCGGCAACAGCUCAAUUUGAAAUCUGGCUCCUCCGGGGCCCGAGUUGUAAUUUGUAGAGGAUGCUUUUGGCGAGGCGCCUUCCGAGUUCCUUGGAACAGGACGCCUUAGAGGGUGAGAGCCCCGUACGGUUGGACGCCGAGCCUCUGUAAAGCUCCUUCGACGAGUCGAGUAGUUUGGGAAUGCUGCUCUAAAUGGGAGGUAAAUUUCUUCUAAAGCUAAAUACCGGCCAGAGACCGAUAGCGCACAAGUAGAGUGAUCGAAAGAUGAAAAGUACUUUGAAAAGAGGGUUAAAAAGCACGUGAAAUUGUUGAAAGGGAAGCGUUUAUGACCAGACCUUGGCCGGGCGGAUCAUCCGGUGUUCCUCACCGGUGCACUUCGCCCGGCCUAGGCCAGCAUCGGUUCCCGCGGGGGGACAAAGGCCCGGGGAAUGUAGCUUCCCUUCGGGGGAGUGUUAUAGACCCGGGCGUAAUGCCCCCGGGGGGACCGAGGUUCGCGCUCCGGCAAGGAUGCUGGCGUAAUGGUCAUCAACGACCCGUCUUGAAACACGGACCAAGGAGUCGAACAUUUGUGCGAGUGUUUGGGUGUCAAACCCUCACGCGUAAUGAAAGUGAACGGAGGUGAGAACCCCUUCCGGGGCGCAUCAUCGACCGAUCCUGAUGUCUUCGGAUGGAUUUGAGUAAGAGCAUAACUGUUCGGACCCGAAAGAUGGUGAACUAUGCGUGGAUAGGGUGAAGCCAGAGGAAACUCUGGUGGAGGCUCGCAGCGGUUCUGACGUGCAAAUCGAUCGUCAAAUCUGCGCAUGGGGGCGAAAG